This 437-nucleotide ribosomal RNA is filed under the name Streptococcus mitis. RNAcentral's name for it is "bacterial SSU rRNA". It matches the Rfam family "Bacterial small subunit ribosomal RNA", at positions 28 to 455 of the family's 1533-position model. Lineage: Bacteria; Bacillati; Bacillota; Bacilli; Lactobacillales; Streptococcaceae. The record is from RNAcentral.
GACGAACGCUGGCGGCGUGCCUAAUACAUGCAAGUAGAACGCUGAAGAGAGGAGCUUGCUCUUCUUGGAUGAGUUGCGAACGGGUGAGUAACGCGUAGGUAACCUGCCUGGUAGCGGGGGAUAACUAUUGGAAACGAUAGCUAAUACCGCAUAAUAGCAGUUAUUGCAUGAUAACUGUUUGAAAGGUGCAAUUGCAUCACUACCAGAUGGACCUGCGUUGUAUUAGCUAGUUGGUGGGGUAACGGCUCACCAAGGCGACGAUACAUAGCCGACCUGAGAGGGUGAUCGGCCACACUGGGACUGAGACACGGCCCAGACUCCUACGGGAGGCAGCAGUAGGGAAUCUUCGGCAAUGGACGGAAGUCUGACCGAGCAACGCCGCGUGAGUGAAGAAGGUUUUCGGAUCGUAAAGCUCUGUUGUAAGAGAAGAACGAGUG